This 254-nucleotide ribosomal RNA is filed under the name uncultured bacterium. RNAcentral's name for it is "partial 16S ribosomal RNA". It matches the Rfam family "Bacterial small subunit ribosomal RNA", at positions 524 to 776 of the family's 1533-position model. The record is from RNAcentral.
UACGUAGGAGGCAAGCGUUGUCCGGAAUUACUGGGCGUAAAGCGCGUGUAGGUGGUGGGACAAGUCUGCUGUGAAAGCGCCUGGCUUAACCGGGCGAGGUCGGCGGAAACUGUCCGACUAGAGGACGGUAGAGGGGGGGUGGAAUUCCGGGUGGAGCGGUGAAAUGCGUAGAGAUCCGGAGGAACACCGACGGCGCAGGCAGCGUCCUGGCCGCUUGCUGACACUGAGGCACGAAAGCUGGGGGAGCAAACAGG